AGAGAAAUAAGGGAGGUUACUGCUAAUAACCUCGUGUCAGUUAAUUUUGACUUUCUCUU
This 59-nucleotide transfer RNA is filed under the name Spongiobothrium variabile. RNAcentral describes it as "tRNA-Ser". Lineage: Eukaryota; Metazoa; Platyhelminthes; Cestoda; Rhinebothriidea; Rhinebothriidae. The record is from RNAcentral.